RNAcentral lists this ribosomal RNA (494 nucleotides) under uncultured bacterium. RNAcentral's name for it is "partial 16S ribosomal RNA". It matches the Rfam family "Bacterial small subunit ribosomal RNA", at positions 28 to 507 of the family's 1533-position model. The record is from RNAcentral.
GACGAACGCUGGCGGCGUGCCUAAUACAUGCAAGUCGAACGGUUUAGUUCCAAGAGGCUUGCCUUUUGGAACUAGACAGUGGCGGACGGGUGAGUAACACGUAGGCAACCUACCUGUCAAACCGGGAUAACCUCGGGAAACCGAAGCUAAACCCGGAUAAGCUCCUUUUUCGCAUGAAGGGGGAGUGCAAAGGUGCGACCUGAUGACAGAUGGGCCUGCGGCGCAUUAGCUAGUAGGUAGGGUAACGGCCUACCUAGGCGAUGAUGCGUAGCCGACCUGAGAGGGCGUACGGCCACACUGGGACUGAGAUACGGCCCAGACUCCUACGGGAGGCAGCAGUAGGGAAUCUUCGGCAAUGGGCGAAAGCCUGACCGAGCAACGCCGCGUGAGUGAGGAAGGCCUUCGGGUUGUAAAACUCUGUUGUUUGGGAAGAAGGGAAAGGGUAGGACCCUUUGGUGACGGUACCAAACGAGAAAGCCCCGGCUAACUACGUG